GUACACUCCUACGGGAGGCAGCAGUGGGGAAUUUUGGACAAUGGGCGAAAGCCUGAUCCAGCAAUGCCGCGUGCAGGAUGAAGGCCUUCGGGUUGUAAACUGCUUUUGUACGGAACGAAAAAGCUCCUUCUAAUACAGGGGGCCCAUGACGGUACCGUAAGAAUAAGCACUGGCUAACUACGUGCCAGCAGCCGCGGUAAUACGUAGGGUGCGAGCGUUAAUCGGAAUUACUGGGCGUAAAGCGUGCGCAGGCGGUUAUGUAAGACAGAUGUGAAAUCCCCGGGCUCAACCUGGGAACUGCAUUUGUGACUGCAUGGCUAGAGUACGGUAGAGGGGGAUGGAAUUCCGCGUGUAGCAGUGAAAUGCGUAGAUAUGCGGAGGAACACCGAUGGCGAAGGCAAUCCCCUGGACCUGUACUGACGCUCAUGCACGAAAGCGUGGGGAGCAAACAGGAUUAGAUACCCUGGUAGUCCCA
This 475-nucleotide ribosomal RNA is filed under the name uncultured organism. RNAcentral describes it as "partial 16S ribosomal RNA". It matches the Rfam family "Bacterial small subunit ribosomal RNA", at positions 331 to 797 of the family's 1533-position model. The record is from RNAcentral.